This 390-nucleotide RNase P RNA is filed under the name Chloroflexota bacterium. RNAcentral's name for it is "Chloroflexi bacterium RNase P RNA component class A". It matches the Rfam family "Bacterial RNase P class A". Rfam says of the family: Ribonuclease P (RNase P) is a ubiquitous endoribonuclease, found in archaea, bacteria and eukarya as well as chloroplasts and mitochondria. Its best characterised activity is the generation of mature 5'-ends of tRNAs by cleaving the 5'-leader elements of precursor-tRNAs. Lineage: Bacteria; Bacillati; Chloroflexota. The record is from RNAcentral.
UGAGUUAGCCAGGUGAUCGCGUUCCGUGGCAACACGGGCCGAGGAAAGUCCGGACUCCACAGGGUACAGCGCCGGGUAACCCCCGGGCGGGGCGACUCGCAGACAGGGCCGCAGAAACAGACCGCCGCCGGUCCCUCAGGGCCGACGGUAAGGGUGAAAAGGUGGUGUAAGAGACCACCGGCGCAGCGGGUAACCGUUGCGGCCAGGCAACCCUCGCUGGGAGCAAGGCCAAGCAGCAGGGAAGGCCCUCGGGCCAGGGAGCGACCCGUUCCCCCUUCUACGGGAGCAACCUGCGGGUAGGCUGCUGGAGAUGCUGGGAGACCGGCGUCGUAGAUAGAUGAUCACCGCCUUUAUGAGGAACAAAAUCCGGCUUAUCGGCCGACUCAGGCU